This 462-nucleotide ribosomal RNA is filed under the name uncultured bacterium. Its description in RNAcentral is "bacterial SSU rRNA". It matches the Rfam family "Bacterial small subunit ribosomal RNA", at positions 395 to 846 of the family's 1533-position model. The record is from RNAcentral.
UGCCGCGUGCGGGAAGAAGGCCUUCGGGUUAGUAAACCGCUUUCGGACGGAAAGAAAUCGCAUGGACUAAUACUCUGUGUGGAUGACGGUACCGUAAGAAGAAGCACCGGCUAACUACGUGCCAGCAGCCGCGGUAAUACGUAGGGUGCGAGCGUUAAUCGGAAUUACUGGGCGUAAAGCGUGCGCAGGCGGUUUCUUAAGCCAGACGUGAAAUCCCCGGGGCUUAACCCUGGGGAACUGCGUUUGGAACUGGGAGACUAGAGUGUGUCAGAGGGAGGUGGAAUUCCGCGUGUAGCAGUGAAAUGCGUAGAUAUGCGGAGGAACACCGAUGGCGAAGGCAGCCUCCUGGGAUAACACUGACGCUCAUGCACGAAAGCGUGGGGAGCAAACAGGAUUAGAUACCCUGGUAGUCCACGCCCUAAACGAUGUCAACUGGCUGUUGGGAGAGAAAUCUUUCAGUAG